Long non-coding RNA from Carassius gibelio (silver crucian carp), 891 nucleotides. RefSeq lists it as uncharacterized. The record is from RefSeq and is a predicted model, not a curated record. The transcript has 2 exons. NCBI's taxonomy places the organism in Eukaryota, Metazoa, Chordata, Actinopteri, Cypriniformes, Cyprinidae.
GCAACUGAAUAGCCAUUGGCUAGUAAUUUUUUUUUUUUUUUUUACAGUGUGUGUGUGUGUGUGUGUGUUAAAAAUUAAAUGUCAGAUGUAUGUUGAUUAAUUGCAUAUGUUUGUUUAGAGGGGAUUUUGUGAGUGGCCAAAAAAAACUACAUGAUUGAUUUAUUGUAUGUGCAAAAGUGAAGCUCCAGCUGCAUUGGUAAAGUCAAGUGGAUAACAAAUUCAAGUGAAACACAUUUGGAUGCUUAAUUAAUCAGUAAAGCCGACCAAUCAAAUUAGACAUUCUUAGCAAAGUGGCUGGGCAACAUUGAUUAAAAUAGAGAGGAAACCAACCACUGUAGUGCCAAAGAGUCAAACAAUGCCAAGAGGAAAGGAGAUAUCUCGGCACGUCAGUCUGGGGAAGGCUAUAAGACCAUCUCCAAGAGAUUCCAAUCCCUCCCUAGAAGUGGAUGCCCAUCAAAAAUAUCAUCAAGAAGCACCUGAAAAAUAAUAAAUGAGGUAAAGGCCAACCCACACAUCACCUGUAGAGAGUUGCAGACCUCUCUGGCAGCAUCUGAGAACAAAGCUGCCCGGUUCAACUUUGCCAGGGAGCAUUUGGACAAACCAGAAGCCUUUUGGAAGAAUAUUUGGACUGAAGCAUACAAAAUAGAUUUUAUUUGGUCGUAAUCAAAGCCGACAUGUUUGGAGAGAAGACAACAGUGAAUUCCAGGAACCUCCUCCCAACACGUGACACCAUAUUAUUCAGGGAAACCUGAUUUCUUACACCUAUCAACAAAUUCUUGAAGAGAAUCUCCUGCCAUCAGUCAGAGAGCUGACGCUGGGCUGAAAAUGGGUGACGUUUGGUUGUUUUCUGUUUACAUAAAACAUUCAUCAAAUAAAAAAUUAAUAAAAUGA